Molecule: ribosomal RNA, 483 nt
Filed under: uncultured bacterium
Lineage: Bacteria
Description: partial 16S ribosomal RNA
Rfam family: Bacterial small subunit ribosomal RNA
Source: RNAcentral
AUUGAACGCUGGCGGCAGGCCUAACACAUGCAAGUCGAGCGGAUGAAGGGAGCUUGCUCCUGGAUUCAGCGGCGGACGGGUGAGUAAUGCCUAGGAAUCUGCCUGGUAGUGGGGGAUAACGUCCGGAAACGGGCGCUAAUACCGCAUACGUCCUGAGGGAGAAAGUGGGGGAUCUUCGGACCUCACGCUAUCAGAUGAGCCUAGGUCGGAUUAGCUAGUUGGUGGGGUAAAGGCCUACCAAGGCGACGAUCCGUAACUGGUCUGAGAGGAUGAUCAGUCACACUGGAACUGAGACACGGUCCAGACUCCUACGGGAGGCAGCAGUGGGGAAUAUUGGACAAUGGGCGAAGCCUGAUCCAGCCAUGCCGCGUGUGUGAAGAAGGUCUUCGGAUUGUAAAGCACUUUAAGUUGGGAGGAAGGGCAGUAAGUUAAUACCUUGCUGUUUUGACGUUACCAACAGAAUAAGCACCGGCUAACUUCGUG